This 245-nucleotide unclassified non-coding RNA is filed under the name uncultured fungus. RNAcentral's name for it is "sequence contains ITS2". The stretch from base 1 to 52 matches the Rfam family "5.8S ribosomal RNA", at positions 103 to 154 of the family's 154-position model. Lineage: Eukaryota; Fungi. The record is from RNAcentral.
AACGCACAUUGCGCCCUUUGGUAUUCCGAAGGGCAUGCCUGUUCGAGCGUCAUUAUAACCACUCAAGCCUUCGCUUGGUAUUGGGGUUUCGCGGUCUCGCGGCUCCUAAAAUCAGUGGCGGUGCCUGUCGGCUCUACGCGUAGUAAUACUCCUCGCGUCUGGGUCCGGCCGGUUUACUUGCCAGCAACCCUUAAAUUUUUUUACAGGUUGACCUCGGAUCAGGUAGGGAUACCCGCUGAACUUAA